GGGUUCAUAGCUCAGUGGUAAGAGUAUUUGUUUGCAAAUAAAUGGUGUCAGGUUCAAACCCCAAUGACACCG
This 72-nucleotide transfer RNA is filed under the name Prunus persica (peach). It matches the Rfam family "tRNA". Rfam says of the family: Transfer RNA (tRNA) molecules are approximately 80 nucleotides in length. Their secondary structure includes four short double-helical elements and three loops (D, anti-codon, and T loops). Further hydrogen bonds mediate the characteristic L-shaped molecular structure. tRNAs have two regions of fundamental functional importance: the anti-codon, which is responsible for specific mRNA codon recognition, and the 3' end, to which the tRNAs corresponding amino acid is attached (by aminoacyl-tRNA synthetases). tRNAs cope with the degeneracy of the genetic code in two manners: having more than one tRNA (with a specific anti-codon) for a particular amino acid; and 'wobble' base-pairing, i.e. permitting non-standard base-pairing at the 3rd anti-codon position. The record is from Rfam by way of RNAcentral. Lineage: Eukaryota; Viridiplantae; Streptophyta; Magnoliopsida; Rosales; Rosaceae.